This 228-nucleotide ribosomal RNA is filed under the name uncultured bacterium. RNAcentral's name for it is "partial 16S ribosomal RNA". It matches the Rfam family "Bacterial small subunit ribosomal RNA", at positions 524 to 751 of the family's 1533-position model. The record is from RNAcentral.
UACGUAGGGGGCAAGCGUUGUCCGGAUUUAUUGGGCGUAAAGAGCGUGUAGGCGGUUAUACAGGUCCGCUGUGAAAACUGGAGGCUUAACCUCCAGACGUCGGUGGAAACCGUAUGACUAGAGUCCGGAAGAGGAGAGUGGAAUUCCUGGUGUAGCGGUGAAAUGCGCAGAUAUCAGGAAGAACACCCGUGGCGAAGGCGGCUCUCUGGGACGGUACUGACGCUGAGA